RNAcentral lists this ribosomal RNA (208 nucleotides) under uncultured Latescibacterota bacterium. RNAcentral describes it as "uncultured Latescibacteria bacterium partial 16S ribosomal RNA". It matches the Rfam family "Bacterial small subunit ribosomal RNA", at positions 568 to 775 of the family's 1533-position model. Lineage: Bacteria; Pseudomonadati; Candidatus Latescibacterota. The record is from RNAcentral.
CGUGUAGGCGGUCAGGUAAGUGGAAUGUGAAAUGCCCCGGCUCACCCGGGGACCGGCAUCCCAAACUGCCUGGCUUGAGUAUGGGAGAGGAUGGAGGAAUUCCUGGUGUAGCGGUGAAAUGCGUAGAUAUCAGGAGGAACACCGGUGGCGAAGGCGUCCAUCUGGCCCAAUACUGACGCUGAGGCGCGAAAGCUAAGGGAGCAAACGG